CAGCCGCCGCGGUAAUACGAAGGGUGCAAGCGUUAAUCGGAAUUACUGGGCGUAAAGCGUGCGUAGGCGGUUUGUUAAGUCUGUUGUGAAAUCCCCGGGCUCAACCUGGGAAUGGCAAUGGAUACUGGCAAGCUAGAGUGUGUCAGAGGAUGGUGGAAUUCCCGGUGUAGCGGUGAAAUGCGUAGAGAUCGGGAGGAACAUCAGUGGCGAAGGCGGCCAUCUGGGACAACACUGACGCUGAGGCACGAAAGCGUGGGGAGCAAACAGGAUUAGAUACCCCUGUAGUCCAUGUCUCUUAUAC
RNAcentral lists this ribosomal RNA (301 nucleotides) under uncultured bacterium. RNAcentral describes it as "partial 16S ribosomal RNA". It matches the Rfam family "Bacterial small subunit ribosomal RNA", at positions 509 to 807 of the family's 1533-position model. The record is from RNAcentral.